Molecule: ribosomal RNA, 497 nt
Filed under: uncultured bacterium
Lineage: Bacteria
Description: partial 16S ribosomal RNA
Rfam family: Bacterial small subunit ribosomal RNA
Source: RNAcentral
GAUGAACGCUGGCGGCGUGCCUAAUACAUCCAAGUCGAGCGAACGGACGAGAAGCUUGCUUCUCUGAUGUUAGCGGCGGACGGGUGAGUAACACGUGGAUAACCUACCUAUAAGACUGGGAUAACUUCGGGAAACCGGAGCUAAUACCGGAUAAUAUUUUGAACCGCAUGGUUCAAAAGUGAAAGACGGUCUUGCUGUCACUUAUAGAUGGAUCCGCGCUGCAUUAGCUAGUUGGUAAGGUAACGGCUUACCAAGGCAACGAUGCAUAGCCGACCUGAGAGGGGGAACGGGCAAACUGGAACUGAGAACAGGUCCAGGCUCCUACGGGAGGGCGCAGUUGGGAAUCUUCCGCAAUGGGCGGAAGCCUGACGGAGGAACGCCGCGUGAGUGAUGGAGGGCUUCGGAUUGUAAAACUCUGUUAUUAGGGAAGAACAUAAGGGGAAGUAACUGUGCACAUCUUGAAGGGACCCAAACAGAAAGCCAAGGCCAACCACGUG